UAGGGAAUCUUCGGCAAUGGGGGCAACCCUGACCGAGCAACGCCGCGUGAGUGAAGAAGGUUUUCGGAUCGUAAAGCUCUGUUGUAAGAGAAGAACGUGUGUGAGAGUCGAAAGUUCACACAGUGACGGUAACUUACCAGAAAGGGACGGCUAACUACGUGCCAGCAGCCGCGGUAAUACGUAGGUCCCGAGCGUUGUCCGGAUUUAUUGGGCGUAAAGCGAGCGCAGGCGGUUUAAUAAGUCUGAAGUUAAAGGCAGUGGCUUAACCAUUGUUCGCUUUGGAAACUGUUAAACUUGAGUGCAGAAGGGGAGAGUGGAAUUCCAUGUGUAGCGGUGAAAUGCGUAGAUAUAUGGAGGAACACCGGUGGCGAAAGCGGCUCUCUGGUCUGUAACUGACGCUGAGGCUCGAAAGCGUGGGGAGCAAACAGG
RNAcentral lists this ribosomal RNA (429 nucleotides) under bacterium. Its description in RNAcentral is "partial 16S ribosomal RNA". It matches the Rfam family "Bacterial small subunit ribosomal RNA", at positions 355 to 776 of the family's 1533-position model. The record is from RNAcentral.